This 531-nucleotide ribosomal RNA is filed under the name uncultured bacterium. Its description in RNAcentral is "bacterial SSU rRNA". It matches the Rfam family "Bacterial small subunit ribosomal RNA", at positions 777 to 1307 of the family's 1533-position model. The record is from RNAcentral.
AAUAGAUACCCUGGUAGUCCACGCCGUAAACGAUGAGUGCUAAGUGUUAGGGGGUUUCCGCCCCUUAGUGCUGCAGCUAACGCAUUAAGCACUCCGCCUGGGGAGUACGGUCGCAAGACUGAAACUCAAAGGAAUUGACGGGGGCCCGCACAAGCGGUGGAGCAUGUGGUUUAAUUCGAAGCAACGCGAAGAACCUUACCAGGUCUUGACAUCCCGCUGACCGCUAUGGAGACAUAGCUUUCCCUUCGGGGACAGCGGUGACAGGUGGUGCAUGGUUGUCGUCAGCUCGUGUCGUGAGAUGUUGGGUUAAGUCCCGCAACGAGCGCAACCCUUGUCCUUAGUUGCCAUCAUUCAGUUGGGCACUCUAAGGAGACUGCCGUACAAAUACGGAGGAAGGUGGGGAUGACGUCAAAUCAUCAUGCCCCUUAUGACCUGGGCUACACACGUGCUACAAUGGACGGUACAAACGGUUGCGAAGUCGCGAGACGGAGCCAAUCCGAGAAAGCCGUUCUCAGUUCGGAUUGCAGGCUG